Molecule: microRNA precursor, 203 nt
Organism: Oryza sativa Japonica Group (Japanese rice)
Lineage: Eukaryota; Viridiplantae; Streptophyta; Magnoliopsida; Poales; Poaceae
Rfam family: MIR812 microRNA precursor family
Source: Rfam
AAUAGAUGACGCCUUUGACUUUUUCUCACAUAUUUGACCAUUCGUCUUAUUUAAAAAAUUUACGUAAUUAUAAUUUAUUUUGUAUGAGUUGUUUUAUUACUCGUAGUACUUUAAGUGUGAUUUAUAUCUUAUAGAUUUGCAUAAAAUUUUUAAAUAAGACGAAUGGUCAAACAUGUGAGAAAAAAUCAACGGUGUCAUCUAUU